This 61-nucleotide microRNA precursor is filed under the name Tetraodon nigroviridis (spotted green pufferfish). Its description in RNAcentral is "Tni-Mir-21-P2_pre stem-loop". It matches the Rfam family "mir-21 microRNA precursor family", at positions 8 to 67 of the family's 72-position model. The record is from RNAcentral. Lineage: Eukaryota; Metazoa; Chordata; Actinopteri; Tetraodontiformes; Tetraodontidae.
UAGCUUAUCAGACUGGUGUUGGCUGUUGGGUCGUCAUGGCAACAGCGGUCUGUAAGCUGUC